CUACGGGUGGCAGCAGUGGGGAAUAUUGGACAAUGGGGGGAACCCUGAUCCAGCCAUGCCGCGUGUGUGAAGAAGGCCCUCGGGUUGUAAAGCACUUUCAGUGAGGAAGAACGCCUGGUGGUUAAUACCCAUCAGGAAAGACAUCACUCACAGAAGAAGCACCGGCUAACUCCGUGCCAGCAGCCGCGGUAAUACGGAGGGUGUGAGCGUUAAUCGGAAUUACUGGGCGUAAAGCGCGCGUAGGUGGCUUGAUAAGCCGGUUGUGAAAGCCCCGGGCUCAACCUGGGAACGGCAUCCGGAACUGUCAAGCUAGAGUGCAGGAGAGGAAGGUAGAAUUCCCGGUGUAGCGGUGAAAUGCGUAGAGAUCGGGAGGAAUACCAGUGGCGAAGGCGGCCUUCUGGACUGACACUGACACUGAGGUGCGAAAGCGUGGGUAGCAAACAGGAUUAGAUACCCUGGUAGUC
This 464-nucleotide ribosomal RNA is filed under the name Vreelandella stevensii. RNAcentral's name for it is "partial 16S ribosomal RNA". It matches the Rfam family "Bacterial small subunit ribosomal RNA", at positions 339 to 795 of the family's 1533-position model. The record is from RNAcentral. Lineage: Bacteria; Pseudomonadati; Pseudomonadota; Gammaproteobacteria; Oceanospirillales; Halomonadaceae.